UGGGAUAAACUGUUGAAAAAUUGAAGAACGUAGCAACCUUUCUUACAAAACGUGGCCACCAGGCCGAAAUUAGUAACCUACUCGUACUCUGCUGCAACAGAAUUUAUAAAUUUCAAAACCAUCAUGUCGUCGUCAGUCUCAUUAUCAAUAUUAGUUUGCCUCGAACGUCUCGUUCCAUUUUGAUUUUUAAUUUUAACAUGGGACAGAUUAGCGACUAAUAUAAAGAGAUUGUAUUUGUGUGUCAAGAGGGAUCUAAUUAUUAUUUGAAUUUUCAGCCUGUAGUAGUCGCGAGUGAUGGAAAAAGUUGUCUCCAGACUGUGAUGUUUGUUCUCUUCCUGACUGUUUGAAGACAGUAGACAUUACUAUUCGACGUGUCAAGUCUGGAGAGCUAAAGUAUUGGCAACUGCAGUAUCUGAGUUGGCAACUGUGGAGCUAAAACUCAUGGGUUCGACCAAUAUUUGGAAUUUGGAUUUUUCUAAAUGUCCUCAAGACGCACAA
This is a long non-coding RNA of Ceratitis capitata (Mediterranean fruit fly), 498 nucleotides long. RefSeq lists it as uncharacterized. NCBI's taxonomy places the organism in Eukaryota, Metazoa, Arthropoda, Insecta, Diptera, Tephritidae. The record is from RefSeq and is a predicted model, not a curated record. The transcript is spliced from 3 exons.